GAAUGUACUAAUGUAUUUUCCACUGGAGGAGGUGAAGAAUUAGCUAAACAAUGUCAAGUCCCUUUCCUAGGACGUAUACCAAUUGAUCUAUUGCUGGUUCAAGAUGUUGAUAAAGGAUUACACUCUAAAGAUAAAGAAUAUUCAUUAACCACCAGACAAUCAAUAAGUGACAUUAUUAAUAAAUUAUUAAUUAAUUAGUUUUAUUAAUUAACUUUAUAUUGUCACUAACCAUAUACCA
This is a long non-coding RNA of Amphimedon queenslandica, 238 nucleotides long. RefSeq lists it as uncharacterized. The record is from RefSeq and is a predicted model, not a curated record. The transcript is spliced from 2 exons. Lineage: Eukaryota; Metazoa; Porifera; Demospongiae; Haplosclerida; Niphatidae.